UACAGUUGUAGGAGUCGUUUGC
RNAcentral lists this microRNA (22 nucleotides) under Drosophila simulans. Its description in RNAcentral is "dsi-miR-975-3p". Its record names the gene dsi-miR-975-3p. Lineage: Eukaryota; Metazoa; Arthropoda; Insecta; Diptera; Drosophilidae. The record is from miRBase by way of RNAcentral.